ACUUAAAUUGAAGAGUUUGAUCAUGGCUCAGAUUGAACGCUGGCGGCAGGCCUAACACAUGCAAGUCGAGCGGUAGCACAGAGAGCUUGCUCUCGGGUGACGAGCGGCGGACGGGUGAGUAAUGUCUGGGAAACUGCCUGAUGGAGGGGGAUAACUACUGGAAACGGUAGCUAAUACCGCAUAACGUCGCAAGACCAAAGUGGGGGACCUUCGGGCCUCAUGCCAUCAGAUGUGCCCAGAUGGGAUUAGCUAGUAGGUGGGGUAACGGCUCACCUAGGCGACGAUCCCUAGCUGGUCUGAGAGGAUGACCAGCCACACUGGAACUGAGACACGGUCCAGACUCCUACGGGAGGCAGCAGUGGGGAAUAUUGCACAAUGGGCGCAAGCCUGAUGCAGCCAUGCCGCGUGUGUGAAGAAGGCCUUCGGGUUGUAAAGCACUUUCAGCGGGGAGGAAGGCGAACCUGGGAACUGCAUUCGAAACUGGCAGGCUAGAGUCUUGUAGAGGGGGGUAGAAUUCCAGGUGUAGCGGUGAAAUGCGUAGAGAUCUGGAGGAAUACCGGUGGCGAAGGCGGCCCCCUGGACAAAGACUGACGCUCAGGUGCGAAAGCGUGGGGAGCAAACAGGAUUAGAUACCCUGGUAGUCCACGCCGUAAACGAUGUCGAUUUGGAGGUUGUGCCCUUGAGGCGUGGCUUCCGGAGCUAACGCGUUAAAUCGACCGCCUGGGGAGUACGGCCGCAAGGUUAAAACUCAAAUGAAUUGACGGGGGCCCGCACAAGCGGUGGAGCAUGUGGUUUAAUUCGAUGCAACGCGAAGAACCUUACCUGGUCUUGACAUCCACAGAACUUGGCCGGGAACUCAAAGGAGACUGCCAGUGAUAAACUGGAGGAAGGUGGGGAUGACGUCAAGUCAUCAUGGCCCUUACGACCAGGGCUACACACGUGCUACAAUGGCAUAUACAAAGAGAAGCGACCUCGCGAGAGCAAGCGGACCUCAUAAAGUAUGUCGUAGUCCGGAUUGGAGUCUGCAACUCGACUCCAUGAAGUCGGAAUCGCUAGUAAUCGUAGAUCAGAAUGCUACGGUGAAUACGUUCCCGGGCCUUGUACACACCGCCCGUCACACCAUGGGAGUGGGUUGCAAAAGAAGUAGGUAGCUUAACCUUCGGGAGGGCGCUUACCACUUUGUGAUUCAUGACUGGGGUGAAGUCGUAACAAGGUAACCGUAGGGGAACCUGCGGUUGGAUCACCUCCUUACCUUAAAGAA
This 1261-nucleotide ribosomal RNA is filed under the name Klebsiella pneumoniae. RNAcentral's name for it is "bacterial SSU rRNA". It matches the Rfam family "Bacterial small subunit ribosomal RNA". The record is from RNAcentral. Lineage: Bacteria; Pseudomonadati; Pseudomonadota; Gammaproteobacteria; Enterobacterales; Enterobacteriaceae.